RNAcentral lists this microRNA precursor (76 nucleotides) under Myotis brandtii (Brandt's bat). Its description in RNAcentral is "mir-9229 microRNA precursor family". It matches the Rfam family "mir-9229 microRNA precursor family". The record is from Rfam by way of RNAcentral. Lineage: Eukaryota; Metazoa; Chordata; Mammalia; Chiroptera; Vespertilionidae.
GAGACACCCUUCUGGGGCAAGACUUGCUUCAGUGGGGCUUUGGUGCUCUCUGAAUCUGCCCCCUGAGUGUGUCCCU